This 468-nucleotide ribosomal RNA is filed under the name uncultured bacterium. Its description in RNAcentral is "partial 16S ribosomal RNA". It matches the Rfam family "Bacterial small subunit ribosomal RNA", at positions 28 to 507 of the family's 1533-position model. The record is from RNAcentral.
GACGAACGCUGGCGGCGUGCUUAACACAUGCAAGUCGAACGGAAAGGCCCUGCUUUUGUGGGGUGCUCGAGUGGCGAACGGGUGAGUAACACGUGAGUAACCUGCCCUUGACUUUGGGAUAACUUCAGGAAACUGGGGCUAAUACCGGAUAGGAGCUCCUGCUGCAUGGUGGGGGUUGGAAAGGUUCGGCGGUUGGGGAUGGACUCGCGGCUUAUCAGCUUGUUGGUGGGGUAGUGGCUUACCAAGGCUUUGACGGGUAGCCGGCCUGAGAGGGUGACCGGCCACAUUGGGACUGAGAUACGGCCCAGACUCCUACGGGAGGCAGCAGUGGGGAAUAUUGCACAAUGGGCGGAAGCCUGAUGCAGCAACGCCGCGUGCGGGAUGACGGCCUUCGGGUUGUAAACCGCUUUCGCCUGUGACGAAGCGUGAGUGACGGUAAUGGGUAAACAAGCACCGGCUAACUACGUG